This 23-nucleotide non-coding RNA is filed under the name Cricetulus griseus (Chinese hamster). The record is from RNAcentral. Lineage: Eukaryota; Metazoa; Chordata; Mammalia; Rodentia; Cricetidae.
AGUGGAAUUUUGAUGGCUCUAGU